AAGGACAUUGCUGACAAGGUUUGGCAUUGCAGCAGGGCUGGUUAAAAUGAUCUUGUUUUUAAGCUUUUGUAAUCCCUGGAGACUCUGUAUCUAACUGCAUCAGGCAGAAAGUUUCUCCCCUUCAUCCCUGAAGCUCAGCAACAACGUUGUUCCAAGCACCUGGAAGGAACAAGAGCUCACAAUGCCUGUGGUACUCCCCAUGGAAUCUAAAGGGAAGG
RNAcentral lists this long non-coding RNA (218 nucleotides) under Chloebia gouldiae (Gouldian finch). Its description in RNAcentral is "Erythrura gouldiae (Gouldian finch) lncRNA (ENSEGOG00005003886.1)". The record is from RNAcentral. Lineage: Eukaryota; Metazoa; Chordata; Aves; Passeriformes; Passeridae.